Molecule: long non-coding RNA, 618 nt
Filed under: Ananas comosus (pineapple)
Lineage: Eukaryota; Viridiplantae; Streptophyta; Magnoliopsida; Poales; Bromeliaceae
Description: long non-coding RNA (ACOM_LNC039270)
Source: RNAcentral
AAAAUUUAAAAAUUAAUAAUUUUAGAAUUUAAAAUUUAAAAUAUAAAUUUUAGAAUUUUAAAAUUUAAAUUAUAAGUUUAAUUUUUAAAAUUAUAUGUUUCGAAUUUUAAACUUUAAUUUUAAAAUUUUUUAUUCAAAAUAAAAAAAAAAUUAUUAAUAAUUAUAUAUUAAUUAGAAAUGAUAUUUAGUAACAAGUGCUGCUAGUUUAUUAUAUUUAGCGGCAUUCACUAAUUUAUGCUGCUAGUUUAUAAUAUUUAGCGGCAUUCACUAAUUUAUGCUGCUAAAUAUAUUAAUUGACAUGAUUUAAAUAAAUGUCGCGGAGCAAAUAUUGCUGCAUUUAGCAAUAAGUGCUGCUACUUUAUUACAUUUAGUGUCAUUUUUUAUAAAAUGCUGGAAACUUCGGUAGCAUUUACUAAUUUAUGCUGCUAAUUUAUUCUAUUUUGCAAUAUUAAUAGUAAAUUGUUGCUAAAUUAUUAAAUUUAACGGCAGUUAUCAAGUAAUGCUGUUAAAUAUAUUAAUUAGCGCUAUUUAAAUAAAUAUGCGGAGUAAAUGCCGUUAAAUCAUGAAUUUGUAGUAGUGUCGAAUAUAUUUUAUGUGAGGACCAAUAUUGAGUAGGUA